This 2350-nucleotide long non-coding RNA is filed under the name Mytilus galloprovincialis (Mediterranean mussel). Lineage: Eukaryota; Metazoa; Mollusca; Bivalvia; Mytilida; Mytilidae. The record is from RNAcentral.
CUGACGAUUGGAUAUUAUUUCUUAACAACUAUUUAUAUUAUUUGUGUGUAAAUAGAUGAUCAAUUUUUAUAAUUCCAGGUAUAAAAGUUUACGACGAUCUGCAAACCUUUUUGUUUUGAAUUUAGCAGUAGGUGAUACAUUGCUUAUAGUUGCAAAUGUUCCAUUGUUGGUGAUUUCAAGUUUCCGUGCUCAAUGGAUUGGCGGAGUAAUAGGUAAGAAUACUAGUAAACAAAACUAAAAAGUAGAAAUUAACGUUUGCGGAAAUUCAUUUUCACACAUACAAACGUGUAAUCACAAAGAUUGACUUAUGAGAAUGGUGAAUUGUAAUAAGCAUAACAAUACAAAAAAAAACUAACAAUAGACCCACGAGAGAGGCGAAAUAAACCAGUUGGACAUUCAAAAGCAUAAGUGAAAAACAAAUAAGAAAAUCAUGGUUAAAAUCAGACAAACAAAACUACACAAAACAUGAGGAGCCUGUAAUUCAGUGGUUGUCGUUUGUUUAUGUGUUACAUAUUUAUUUUUCAUUCAUUUUUUACAUGAAUUAGGCCGUUAGUUUUCUUGUUUGAAUUGUUUUACAUUGUCUUAUCGGGGCCUUUUAUAGCUGACUAUGCGGUAUUGGUUUUGCUCAUUGUUGAAGGUCGUACGGUGACCUAUAGUUGUUAAUGUCUGUUUCAUUUUGGUCUUUUGUGGAUAGUUGUCUCACUGGCAAUCAUACCACAUCUUCUUUUUUAUAUGAGAUAAAAAAAAACUAGAGACUGAGCAAAACGAACCCAACGAAAACUAGGGGUGGUCUUAGGUGAUCCAGAAGGGACUUCAUGACAUUUUUGUCGUCGUGUAUCGAAGUAUCGAUCUAACAGUACUUGCAGUUAGCUUUUGAUUCUGCCAAUUGAUUUGGAACUUUUAGUUUUUAAUUUUCCUCAGAGUUCCGUAUUUUUGUGAUUUUACUCUUUACAUGUAGUAACUAAAAGCUAGUAAACAUGAAAGCAAUACAAAUGGGCUAAGGGAAAAUCAAACACAAACAAUCAACCUUAAUGCAUGCAUGCCUACUAUCUAAUCGGUUUCUGUACUUUUUAGAAUUCCUAUUAGAAUAGUGUCAUCGUAAACUUCAUAAACAAUAAAGUAAUUGAAGUACAGAAAAACAAAUAAAACAUUAAAGUAUUGAAACAAAAUUUUAAUUCGAUUUGCGUUCAAAAAUAAACCAGAUGCAAUAUCUGAACAUCUACAGUAUUAGUUUUACCAUCAUUUAUAAGUUUAUAAGGCAAAGAGAAAAAUUCCAUACGUAUUGAAAGUUAAACCAAUACUUCAUAAUCUUUUUUCUCAUCUAUAAUAAAACACGAAAAUAUAACAAUAAUACUCACACAAAGUCAAUUGUUUCUUUUCAGGUUGUCACCUUUUUGCUUUCUUUGGUGGACUUUCAGGAUUCGUUUCUAUAAAUACACUUACUGUGCUAGCCAUAGAGCGUUGUGUUGUUAUCACGUGUCAUCUAACCUAUAACAACAGACUAUCUAAUCCAAGAAUUAUUUUAUUAUGUGUCAUUGUAUGGAUAUAUUCAUUCCUAUGGUCAAUUCUACCGUAUUUGGGUUGGGGAGGACACAUGAUGGAGGGGUCAAGGACAUCAUGUACAUUCGAUUACUUUACAAAAACUAUUAACAACAGAAUGUAUGUGAUAUGUUUAAUAGUGUUUUGUUUUGUAUUACAAUUGAUAAUAAUAUCUUUAUCAUAUCUGAAAAUUGUGACAGUGGUAUUUUCCCGUCAACACGAGAUUACGCACUCGAAAUCAAACUCUAAAGCGGUAUGCUUGCGGGUUUCAUCAAGUAAAGACAGGCUAAAGGUCGAAUGGCGUGCUACAAAAGCUGCGAUGAUUCUUGUUUUUGUAUUUUGUAUUUCUUGGACACCUUACGCUAUCAUUGCUUUGAUUGGUCAGUUUAGCGAUACGUCAAUCAUUACCCCGCUGUCGUCUGCUUUACCUGGACUAUUUGCUAAAAUGUCUUCAUUUUUAAACCCAAUUAUCUAUACGUUAUUACAUUCAAAGUAUAGAAAAAUGAUUAGAAGCAUUUUUCAAAAUUCCGGAGAAGGGAAUUAUAGAAACAACUCUAAUAAUACUCAAAACUUGAAAUUAAAUUUUGAAAAAGACAGCACUUCCAGUCCAAACAUAGGGAUGAUUAGCAGAAGUAGAAGUACGACUGUAUUAUAACUUUUUCAUUCAACAUACAGAAAUGUUUAUAGCUCAUUGCUUCGUGAAUUCUAUGAAGGUCAGCAUUGGAUUAAUGUACUGAAUAAACUAUCUACAUGUGGGGAAAUGACAACAAUGUUAAAAGCAGUUUAUAUAUAUAUUUGGUUAUCGCGCCUG